ACAUACGACCAAAGCUCGUAGAAAAUACGGGAUCCCGUCCGCUCUCCCAUAGUCAAGCUGCGAAGCGCUGGAUUAGUAGUUGGGGUCGGUGACGACCAGCGAAUCCCCGGUGUUGUAUGUU
Molecule: ribosomal RNA, 121 nt
Organism: Fusarium oxysporum f. sp. lycopersici 4287
Lineage: Eukaryota; Fungi; Ascomycota; Sordariomycetes; Hypocreales; Nectriaceae
Source: Rfam